AUUUAACUCUGGCGGCAUGCCUUACACAUGCAAGUCGAACGGCAGCACGGGUGCUUGCACCUGGUGGCGAGUGGCGAACGGGUGAGUAAUACAUCGGAACAUGUCCUGUAGUGGGGGAUAGCCCGGCGAAAGCCGGAUUAAUACCGCAUACGAUCUACGGAUGAAAGCGGGGGACCUUCGGGCCUCGCGCUAUAGGGUUGGCCGAUGGCUGAUUAGCUAGUUGGUGGGGUAAAGGCCUACCAAGGCGACGAUCAGUAGCUGGUCUGAGAGGACGACCAGCCACACUGGGACUGAGACACGGCCCAGACUCCUACGGGAGGCAGCAGUGGGGAAUUUUGGACAAUGGGCGAAAGCCUGAUCCAGCAAUGCCGCGUGUGUGAAGAAGGCCUUCGGGUUGUAAAGCACUUUUGUCCGGAAAGAAAUCCUUGGCCCUAAUACGGUCGGGGGAUGACGGUACCGGAAGAAUAAGCACCGGCUAACUACGUG
This 486-nucleotide ribosomal RNA is filed under the name uncultured bacterium. RNAcentral's name for it is "partial 16S ribosomal RNA". It matches the Rfam family "Bacterial small subunit ribosomal RNA", at positions 30 to 507 of the family's 1533-position model. The record is from RNAcentral.